GACAGAGGGGGCGAGCGUUGCUCGGAAUUACUGGGCGUAAAGGGCGCGUAGGCGGGAUGGCAAGUCGGUCGUGAAAUCCUUCGGCUCAACCGAAGAACGUCGAUCGAUACUGCUGUUCUUGAGGGUUGCAGAGGAGACUGGAAUUCCCGGUGUAGCGGUGAAAUGUGUAGAUAUCGGGAAGAACACCCGUGGCGAAGGCGGUUCUCUGGGACGGUACUGACGCUGAGACGCGAAAGCGUGGGGAGCGAACAGG
RNAcentral lists this ribosomal RNA (253 nucleotides) under uncultured bacterium. RNAcentral's name for it is "partial 16S ribosomal RNA". It matches the Rfam family "Bacterial small subunit ribosomal RNA", at positions 524 to 776 of the family's 1533-position model. The record is from RNAcentral.